Molecule: non-coding RNA, 28 nt
Filed under: Bombyx mori (domestic silkworm)
Lineage: Eukaryota; Metazoa; Arthropoda; Insecta; Lepidoptera; Bombycidae
Source: RNAcentral
UGCAUGGUGUUGUAAGCAGACCGCGGGC